RNAcentral lists this ribosomal RNA (465 nucleotides) under uncultured bacterium. Its description in RNAcentral is "partial 16S ribosomal RNA". It matches the Rfam family "Bacterial small subunit ribosomal RNA", at positions 28 to 507 of the family's 1533-position model. The record is from RNAcentral.
GACGAACGCUGGCGGCGUGCUUAACACAUGCAAGUCGAACGGAAAGGCCCCUUUGGGGGUACUCGAGUGGAAAACGGGUGUGUAACACGGGCGUAACCUGCCCUUGACUUCGGGAUAACUUCAGGAAACUGGGGAUAAUACCGGAUAGGAAUCCUUGCGGCAUGGUGGGGGUUGGAAAGCUUCGUCGGUCUGGGGUGGACUCGCGGCUUAUCAGCUUGUUGGUGGGGUAGUGGCUUACCAAGGCUUUGACGGGUAGCCGGCCUGAGAGGGCGACCGGCCACAUUGGGAACUGGGUCCGGCCCCGACUCCUUCGGGGGGCAGCAGUGGGGAAUUUUGCCCAAUGGGCGGGAGCCCGAUGCAGCAACGCCGCGUGCGGGAUGACCGCCUUCGGGUUGUAAACCGCUUUCAGCAGGGGCGAAGCUGGUGGUGACGGUACCUGCAGAAGAAGCACCGGCUAACUACGUG